GGGUUGUGAGGUUAAGCGACUAAGCGUACACGGUGGAUGCCCUGGCAGUCAGAGGCGAUGAAGGACGUGCUAAUCUGCGAUAAGCGUCGGUAAGGUGAUAUGAACCGUUAUAACCGGCGAUUUCCGAAUGGGGAAACCCAGUGUGAUUCGUCACACUAUCAUUAACUGAAUCCAUAGGUUAAUGAGGCGAACCGGGGGAACUGAAACAUCUAAGUACCCCGAGGAAAAGAAAUCAACCGAGAUUCCCCCAGUAGCGGCGAGCGAACGGGGAGCAGCCCAGAGCCUGAAUCAGUGUGUGUGUUAGUGGAAGCGUCUGGAAAGGCGUGCGAUACAGGGUGACAGCCCCGUACACAAAAAUGCACAUACUGUGAGCUCGAUGAGUAGGGCGGGACACGUGGUAUCCUGUCUGAAUAUGGGGGGACCAUCCUCCAAGGCUAAAUACUCCUGACUGACCGAUAGUGAACCAGUACCGUGAGGGAAAGGCGAAAAGAACCCCGGCGAGGGGAGUGAAAAAGAACCUGAAACCGUGUACGUACAAGCAGUGGGAGCACGCUUAGGCGUGUGACUGCGUACCUUUUGUAUAAUGGGUCAGCGACUUAUAUUCUGUAGCAAGGUUAACCGAAUAGGGGAGCCGAAGGGAAACCGAGUCUUAACUGGGCGUUAAGUUGCAGGGUAUAGACCCGAAACCCGGUGAUCUAGCCAUGGGCAGGUUGAAGGUUGGGUAACACUAACUGGAGGACCGAACCGACUAAUGUUGAAAAAUUAGCGGAUGACUUGUGGCUGGGGGUGAAAGGCCAAUCAAACCGGGAGAUAGCUGGUUCUCCCCGAAAGCUAUUUAGGUAGCGCCUCGUGAAUUCAUCUCCGGGGGUAGAGCACUGUUUCGGCAAGGGGGUCAUCCCGACUUACCAACCCGAUGCAAACUGCGAAUACCGGAGAAUGUUAUCACGGGAGACACACGGCGGGUGCUAACGUCCGUCGUGAAGAGGGAAACAACCCAGACCGCCAGCUAAGGUCCCAAAGUCAUGGUUAAGUGGGAAACGAUGUGGGAAGGCCCAGACAGCCAGGAUGUUGGCUUAGAAGCAGCCAUCAUUUAAAGAAAGCGUAAUAGCUCACUGGUCGAGUCGGCCUGCGCGGAAGAUGUAACGGGGCUAAACCAUGCACCGAAGCUGCGGCAGCGACGCUUAUGCGUUGUUGGGUAGGGGAGCGU
Molecule: ribosomal RNA, 1207 nt
Filed under: Shigella flexneri
Lineage: Bacteria; Pseudomonadati; Pseudomonadota; Gammaproteobacteria; Enterobacterales; Enterobacteriaceae
Description: partial 23S ribosomal RNA
Rfam family: Bacterial large subunit ribosomal RNA
Source: RNAcentral